Molecule: unclassified non-coding RNA, 335 nt
Filed under: soil metagenome
Description: partial contains 5.8S ribosomal RNA, internal transcribed spacer 2, and large subunit ribosomal RNA
Rfam family: 5.8S ribosomal RNA (bases 1-120)
Source: RNAcentral
GAUGAAGAACGUAUCGAAAUGCGAUAAGUAGUGUGAAUUGCAGAAUUCAGUGAAUCAUCGAAUCUUUGAACGCACAUUGCGCCCCUUGGUAUUCCAUGGGGCAUGCCUGUUCGAGCGUCAUUUGUACCUUCAAGCUCUGCUUGGUGUUGGGUGUUUGUCCUUGCUCUAGUGGCGGGACUCGCCUUAAAGUAAUUGGCAGCCAGUGUUUUGGUUUUGAAGCGCAGCACAAGUCGCGAUUCAAGUCUAUACGCUAGUUUCCACAAGUCUUUUAUCACUUUUGACCUCGGAUCAGGUAGGGAUACCCGCUGAACUUAAGCAUAUCAAUAAGCGGAGGA